RNAcentral lists this ribosomal RNA (405 nucleotides) under uncultured bacterium. RNAcentral describes it as "bacterial SSU rRNA". It matches the Rfam family "Bacterial small subunit ribosomal RNA", at positions 370 to 772 of the family's 1533-position model. The record is from RNAcentral.
AAUGGGCGACAGCCUGAACCAGCCAUCCCGCGUGAAGGAAGACUGCCCUAUGGGUUGUAAACUUCUUUUCCGGAGGAAUAAAAUCCCGAACGUGUUCGGGACUGAAGGUACUCCGGGAAUAAGCAUCGGCUAACUCCGUGCCAGCAGCCGCGGUAAUACGGAGGAUGCGAGCGUUAUCCGGAUUUAUUGGGUUUAAAGGGUGCGUAGGCGGAUUAAUAAGUCAGUGGUGAAAACCUUCAGCUUAACUGGAGACUUGCCAUUGAUACUGUUAGUCUUGAGUACGGUCAAGGUAGGCGGAAUGUGUAAUGUAGCGGUGAAAUGCUUAGAUAUUACACAGAACACCGAUUGCGAAGGCAGCUUACUGGGCCGUUACUGACGCUGAUGCACGAAAGCGUGGGGAGCGAA